RNAcentral lists this long non-coding RNA (1672 nucleotides) under Homo sapiens (human). RNAcentral describes it as "HSALNT0344956". Lineage: Eukaryota; Metazoa; Chordata; Mammalia; Primates; Hominidae. The record is from RNAcentral.
UAGUGAUUGCCAGGGGAAGGGAGGAGGAGGAAUGGGGACUGACUGCUUAGGGGUAAAAUAUACCUUUUUGAAGUGAUGAAAAUGUCCUGGAAUUGGAUAUUAGUAGUGGCUGCACCCCAUUGUGAAUAAAGAUAACUGAUUUGUACACUUUAAAAUGGUUAAAAUGGUAGAUUUUAUGUUAUGUGAAUUUUAUCUCAAUUUUUUAAAAAGCUUUCUAAGUAUCUGAAGACUACAAGAGGUGCAUAUUUUUUAUUCACAAAGAAUUAGUAAGUCUUUCAAUGACAGAAUUUCCAUCUUUGAGUAUUGUGUUUGAAGGUUAUUUUGUCUCACUGUUUUUCCCCCAGAUACUUCUAAAGCUGCUGUGCUCAUAACUAGGGAAGCAGAAGAGGAGAUCGUCCUCCUGCCCUGGCAACCAGGGAUGAUGGCACGUGCCUAGGCUCAAGCAUGGCAAUUCUCCCAUCCAGAACUUGGAAUCUUCGGGGUAUGUCACAAAGACCCAGGGUCAGUUUGCAAAUUAUUCCCAGAAGUUGUGGCAGCAUCAAGAGUCAGGCAGGGGCAGCAGCCCACGUUCAGCUGGAAUUCUGUGGCUUAACCCAGGGGUUUUCUAUGUGUCAUGAGAGAUAACACAACACUCUCACCAACGAAGUUGAAUAAAUUAUAUUUAGGACUCACAAGCUGAUCAUGAUUCUUGGCUAUGCAAACCUGAGGCUGAUGCAUCCUCCAGCAGCUGACCACGGACAUGUGCAGCAUCACAGUGACAGAUGGCAUUUCAACCACUUGGUUUACACCUUCCUCCACUGUCACCACCAUUCUGACAGAAAUGAGUUCCAUUUGCUCCAUUUUACAUAAGGGCAAAAGGCAGCAUUGACUCACCAAGUUUACACAGUUAGGGAAAAGAGCAACCAGGUCAGGAUCAGAUACAACAAAGAAGUGAUUGCAGAUGUUAAAUGGAACAUAGCUCUGGUCGUUUGAUAAAUAUUCAGUAAUUUCUUCAGUUUGUUAAGAAAAAUUAUCCAAAAUUUACAAUUACAGAGGAAGCAAAAUUUUACCUGUACCCUAUUUUUUUUUUUCUGGGGCUAAGAAUUAAAUUGACUUAAGACAGACAUAAGACAGAUCAACAGCAGAAGAACAAAUUUACUUAAUACAAGUUUUACAUGGCAGGAGAGACUACAUAAGGAAAUGCAGACCCAAAGGCACAGUUAGAUUGAACACUUACAUACAGAAUUAAAGAGUCAUGAAUUGUGAAAAUGUCACAAGGCCAAGAAGCUUGGGCUGAGUGGUUAAUUGAGUGAAAAAGUGGCUCGGAAGGUAUCUCCGCCCUAUGAAGGCCUUGAUGGGGAGCAACUCAGGCCUUGAAGGUAAAUGUCCUGUCCCACAGGUGCCAUGAGCUCCGGGAAGUAGAGACGUGAUCAGACUCCCCUGCUACAGCCUUGUACUUGUCACCGAAGGGAGAUGUGCAGGUGCAAGCCCGACCAAGGGACACCUCCGUGGCCAUGACAGCUUUUCUUCUUAAAAGAAAAAACCGGACCGUGGGUUCAGAAAUCCAAAUCCAUUUGUUUAUACUCGAUUCAUACCAAAGACUACAAAAUAUACUUGUUAAUCUAUAUUUAAUAUAGCUACUUAAUACAUUUAGUCAUCUCAUUUUUAAUAUUUUUUAUUAUUCAUUUUAAUC